GGUCUCUGUGCCUGGCUGCUUCGAACAAGAUGGCCGCUCUUCCAUAAGAGCUCCACGAUAUCAUCUUCACCCCUAACCAAAAACGGGGGGAGAUUGAGUUUCAAGGAGGAGGAAGAAGAAGUAGAAGUAGUAGAAAAUGAAGAAGAAUCAUCGUCAAAUCCCAAGUCGGUAACAGAGUUGAUUCAUAUCUUUAGACAUAAAAUGACACCAAACCUCUGAGAGUACUCCUAUUGGAAAUUUGAGAAGUUGAAUCACCAUAUAUAUAUAUAUAGUAUUUUAAAUAUUGUUAAAAGAGUUUGACAUGAAAAACAUUUUUUUUUUGUAGUAGCUGAUUCUCUUCUGGUUUAGCCAUAAACCCCCAAGAAACUACCCAAAGAACAAAAAGUGAACUGUUGAAACCUGAGAUAUUUUUGUUUAUAUAUUUUGGAACAUAGUGUGCAUUUGGGUCUCAUUACACUCAUCUUUUGAAUUUUAUUUUUGCUUCUACGCCUUUCUUUCAGUUCUUUCUCUUAUUUUGUCUGAAUGCUUACUCCGAAUUUUGUGCUUUACACAAAUAAUAAGCUCCCUAUCUUUUCUGCCCGCGAAAAGUGAGCGUCUUUGUGCGUGCUACCAAGUUUGCGAUACUUACAUGACCUCAUCACUUUACAAGUGGGUCUUUUGUCUCUCUCUUUUGAUGGGUCCACAUUGAGCAUAGAAUAAUAGUAUUUACAUAUGAAAACAACAUGCUAGUGGUAUUUUCUAAAUCAUUUUAGAUUACCACAACAUCCCUGAGAAGAAUCUGGAGGAUGAGAUCGAGAAUCUGGCGGUGAAUCUGUAGGUAUAUUCUCUCAAAAAUGAGUUUCUUGUAUCAACUGUAGUAAAUAUCUUACACAAACUAGUUUUCCAAGUAUCUAAAGAGUCAGCCAUAAGAAGUUACCGACAUGUGGCAACCCGCGAUUGGUUCACUUUUUAUUUUUUUUUAAAUCAGAAGAAAAAAACUAAAAAAAAAACCUGAAUAGGAUAUAUAGAACAAAGAUGCUCUAAUGCUAUUAGAACAUUUUCAAUGGAAGUAUUUGAAGAGUACCCCUAACAUUGAAAAAAUGAAGAAAGUAUAAAAGUAUGAAAGAGAAUAUAAGAGAGUUCUCAAAAAUAACCUAUGAUAUACCAUAAAACACUUAUUUCUAGUUAUUUUUCAGCACUAAAAUUAAAUCAUAAGUUAUAUAACUUAUAUUAAACUAGUAUUAUAAAUUUGCUAAAAUCCAUUUUAAGAUAUUAUCUCAACAAGGUUGUUCUUACAUAACUAGAAUGGUUGGAUAGACUAAAACAUCUGAAUUUUAAUUCAUAACUAUUAUAUAAUAUAUAUAGAUCUCAAAUUCCCCUUCAAAUUGGAAGAUAAUAAAGAUAUAAGUAUUUAGUUUGGGUAACAUCAUUUGAAAAAGACAUCAUCUAAAUAUUAUAACAAAGACAUCUACACAAAUUUAUCCGUUGUGGGUAUCUGAUUCACGCGUAGAAUCUUUACUUGUAUAUCAUCCUUUAUAAAGCGACAAUGCGAUUCCACAUGUUUCCUUCCUCUUAUGAAACACAUGAUUAUCUGCAAUGUAAAAACAUAUACCCAUAGUUACUAACACAUCUUUAAUUCACUUCAGCUCAUUCAGUACAACAACCAUAGCUCUAUAUUGAACUCGUAAAUUUCAAAUUAUAUCGAGCAUUUCCAGGAGUAAUGACAAGCAAUGACCGUAGUUGCAGCAUGCAAACAUAAGUUCCAGAAGUACUCUUGAUUAUUGUUUUCGUUACAAAGUUUUAGUUGCAGGGGAGAAAUGUUCAUUGUCUUUAUAGAAAAAACAAGACCGUUUUGGUGAACAUAUAUAUCUCUUCUCUUACUCACCUUAUCUGUCUAUAUUAGCCUCAAGAUUCCAUGUACUGACAUUUACAGAAACAGAAAAAGAGGGCCUACUUUAACCUUGACUAAAAUUUACAUGCUAUGUCUCUGGUUAUAUUUUCAACAUUGUGGAUUUGCUUGGAGAACCGACCCUUUAUUAACCUGCAACAACACGAUGGAGAUGUAUCUGUCAAAUCAUGAGCAUUAACUCAUCUCGCUAGAAAUGCCUCAGGACAUUCCCUGAUUCUUACUAACCUUUUGGUUUGUUAUCCUGAUCUUCAGGUUCCUUACUACUACUUGCCUGGCUGAAACUCAGCUGUGAUGAUGAUUGAUUCUGUAGACACAUUUUAAAACACCAUCUUGUGAGCUAUGGACCAUUUGUAAGGAACAGAGGAAUAAGCACAAUGGAUAAUG
Long non-coding RNA from Brassica rapa (field mustard), 2272 nucleotides. RefSeq lists it as uncharacterized. NCBI's taxonomy places the organism in Eukaryota, Viridiplantae, Streptophyta, Magnoliopsida, Brassicales, Brassicaceae. The record is from RefSeq and is a predicted model, not a curated record.